AUGGCCACCACCGUCCAGCCCCACUCCCCGGACCCAACAGCCAUCACCACCACCCCUGCCCCACCCCCUCCCCCUUCUCCACCUCGCCAGGAGAACCCGACCGCCGCGGGGGAAGGCGUAGAGAUCGCGGCGCUCGAUGAGCAGCCUGCCGCCGUCGCCGUCGCCGACAAGGGGAAGACGGCCCCCGGCGGCGGGAAGCUGGUGGCGGAGGCCAUGCGCAAGUGCGCGGCGCCCCGGUCGUCGCGCUACCACGGCGUGACGAGGCUCAAGUGGAGCGGCAAGUACGAGGCACACCUCUGGGACAACACCAGCCAGGUUGAGGGGCGCAAGCGCAAGGGCAAGCAUGUGUACUUGGGAAGCUAUGUUACUGAAGAGAAUGCUGCAAGGGCACAUGACCUUGCAGCCCUGAAAUAUUGGGGCAUAACUCAACCCACCAAACUAAACUUCAAUAUUUCUGAUUAUGCAAAAGAAAUUGAGAUCAUGAAGAGCAUGAAUCAAGAUGAAUUUGUGGCCUACAUAAGGAGGCAGAGUAGUUGUUUCUCAAGAGGAACAUCGUCAUACAGGGGUGUAACAAGACGAAAGGAUGGUAAAUGGCAAGCACGUAUUGGUAGGAUUGGUGAGAGUAGAGACACUAAAGACAUCUAUCUUGGGACCUUUGAAACUGAAGUGGAGGCAGCUGAAGCGUAUGACCUAGCAGCAAUUCAGCUCCGUGGUGUUCAUGCUGUGACCAACUUUGAUAUCAGCAACUACUCCGAAGAAGGUUUGAAGAAACUAGAAGGCUCAUCCGAGGUAGUGAACCUGGAGGACCAAUCAGAAGUCACUAAGUUAGCUGUGACCAACUUGGAUAUUAGCCAACACUGCGAAGAUGGUUUGAAGAAACUAGAUGGCGCAUCCCAGAUAGUGAACCUGGAGGACCAAUCAGAAGUCACCAAGUUAUCUGUGACCAACUUUGAUAUUAGCAACUGCUGUGAAGAUGGUUUGAAGAAACUAGAUGGCGCAUCCCAGAUAGUGAACCUGGAGGACCAAUCAGAAGUCACCAAGUUAUCUGUGACUAACUUUGAUAUUAGCAACUGCUGUGAAGAUGGUUUGAAGAAACUAGAAGGCUCAUCCGAGGUAGCGAACCUGGAGGACCAAUCAGAAGUCACAAAGUUAGCUGGACAAUAG
This 1164-nucleotide ribosomal RNA is filed under the name Triticum aestivum (bread wheat). Its description in RNAcentral is "partial small subunit ribosomal RNA". Lineage: Eukaryota; Viridiplantae; Streptophyta; Magnoliopsida; Poales; Poaceae. The record is from RNAcentral.